This 442-nucleotide ribosomal RNA is filed under the name uncultured bacterium. Its description in RNAcentral is "partial 16S ribosomal RNA". It matches the Rfam family "Bacterial small subunit ribosomal RNA", at positions 338 to 795 of the family's 1533-position model. The record is from RNAcentral.
CCUACGGGGGGCAGCAGUGGGGAAUAUUGGGCAAUGGGGGAAAGCCUGACGCAGCAACGCCGCGUGAAGGAAGAAGGCUUUCGGGUUGUAAACUUCUAUUAAGAGGGAAGAGCAGAAGACGGUACCUCUUGAAUAAGCCACGGAUAACUACGUGCCAGCAGCCGCGGUAAUACGUAGGUGGAAAGCGUUGUCCGGAUUUACUGGGUGUAAAGGGCGUGUAGCCGGGCUGACAAGUCAGAUGUGAAAUCCCGUGGCUCAACCACGGAACUGCAUUUGAAACUGUCGGUCUUGAGUAUCGGAGAGGCAGGCGGAAUUCCUAGUGUAGCGGUGAAAUGCGUAGAUAUUAGGAGGAACACCAGUGGCGAAGGCGGCCUGCUGGACGACAACUGACGGUGAGGCGCGAAAGCGUGGGGAGCAAACAGGAUUAGAUACCCCGGUAGUC